AACGAACGCUGGCGGCAUGCCUAACACAUGCAAGUCGAACGAGACCUUCGGGUCUAGUGGCGCACGGGUGCGUAACGCGUGGGAAUCUGCCCUUGGGUUCGGAAUAACAGUUAGAAAUGACUGCUAAUACCGGAUAAUGUCUUCGGACCAAAGAUUUAUCGCCCAGGGAUGAGCCCCGCGUAGGAUUAGCUAGUUGGUGAGGUAAAGGCUCACCAAGGCGACGAUCCUUAGCUGGUCUGAGAGGAUGAUCAGCCACACUGGGACUGAGACACGGCCCAGACUCCUACGGGAGGCAGCAGUGGGGAAUAUUGGACAAUGGGCGAAAGGACCUGAUCCAGCAAAUGCCGCGU
Molecule: ribosomal RNA, 350 nt
Filed under: uncultured bacterium
Lineage: Bacteria
Description: bacterial SSU rRNA
Rfam family: Bacterial small subunit ribosomal RNA
Source: RNAcentral